This 357-nucleotide unclassified non-coding RNA is filed under the name plant metagenome. RNAcentral's name for it is "partial contains 5.8S ribosomal RNA, internal transcribed spacer 2, and large subunit ribosomal RNA". The stretch from base 1 to 105 matches the Rfam family "5.8S ribosomal RNA", at positions 50 to 154 of the family's 154-position model. The record is from RNAcentral.
GAAAUGCGAUUCGUAAUGUGAAUUGCAGAAUUCAGUGAAUCAUCGAAUCUUUGAACGCACCUUGCGCUCCUUGGUAUUCCGAGGAGCAUGCCUGUUUGAGUGUCAUGAAAUCUUCAACCCACCUCUUUCUUAGUGAAUCUGGUGGUGCUUGGUUUCUGAGCGCUGCUCUGCUUCGGCUUAGCUCGUUCGUAAUGCAUUAGCAUCCGCAACCGAACUUCGGAUUGACUUGGCGUAAUAGACUAUUCGCUGAGGAUUCUAGUUUACUAGAUCCGAGUUGGGUUAAAGGAAGCUCCUAAUCCUAAAGUCUAUUUUUUGAUUAGAUCUCAAAUCAGGUAGGACUACCCGCUGAACUUAAGC